RNAcentral lists this ribosomal RNA (253 nucleotides) under uncultured bacterium. RNAcentral describes it as "partial 16S ribosomal RNA". It matches the Rfam family "Bacterial small subunit ribosomal RNA", at positions 524 to 776 of the family's 1533-position model. The record is from RNAcentral.
UACGUAGGGGGCAAGCGUUAUCCGGAUUUACUGGGUGUAAAGGGAGCGUAGACGGCAGUGCAGGUCUGAAGUGAAAGGCAAGGGCUCAACCCUUGGACUGCUUUGGAAACUGUGCUGCUGGAGUGUCGGAGAGGCAAGUGGAAUUCCUAGUGUAGCGGUGAAAUGCGUAGAUAUUAGGAGGAACACCAGUGGCGAAGGCGGCUUGCUGGACGAUGACUGACGUUGAGGCUCGAAAGCGUGGGGAGCAAACAGG